RNAcentral lists this ribosomal RNA (495 nucleotides) under uncultured bacterium. Its description in RNAcentral is "partial 16S ribosomal RNA". It matches the Rfam family "Bacterial small subunit ribosomal RNA", at positions 28 to 507 of the family's 1533-position model. The record is from RNAcentral.
GACGAACGCUGGCGGCGUGCCUAAUACAUGCAAGUAGAACGCUGAAGGAGGAGCUUGCUCUUCUGGAUGAGUUGCGAACGGGUGAGUAACGCGUAGGUAACCUGCCUGGUAGCGGGGGAUAACUAUUGGAAACGAUAGCUAAUACCGCAUAACAGUAGAUGUUGCAUGACAUUUACUUAAAAGGUGCAAUUGCAUCACUACCAGAUGGACCUGCGUUGUAUUAGCUAGUUGGUGGGGUAACGGCUCACCAAGGCGACGAUACAUAGCCGACCUGAGAGGGUGAUCGGCCACACUGGGACUGAGACACGGCCCAGACUCCUACGGGAGGCAGCGGUAGGGAAUCUUCGGCAAUGGACGGAAGUCUGACCGAGCAACGCCGCGUGAGUGAAGAAGGGUUUCGGAUCGUAAAGCUCUGUUGUAAGAGAAGAACGAGUGUGAGAGUGGAAAGUUCACACUGUGACGGUAUCUGACCAGAAAGGGACGGCUAACUACGUG